Molecule: long non-coding RNA, 339 nt
Organism: Hevea brasiliensis (rubber tree)
Lineage: Eukaryota; Viridiplantae; Streptophyta; Magnoliopsida; Malpighiales; Euphorbiaceae
Exons: 3
Source: RefSeq, a predicted model, not a curated record
GCGGUGGCUCCGGUGGACUAUGGAGACGAUUCAAUUUCCAGAGGCUUCCUCAUAAAUUUUUGGAAUUUUUGAGACACAGAUAAACUUCGGGUGAUCGAGGUCAGCUAUUUUUCUGCAUCCAGCAGCCACAAUAGUCAUCGGUGUACUGCCACAGGAGGAGUUAUUUUACAGAGCAACCUGUUUUCUUCCUCGCAGGUUUAACGUCGAUUAUUUAAUUGUUUUACUAUCUUUUCUAAAUUUAAAAUCUAAAACUCCGCAUGUGUUAGUAAUAGUGUGGACCUUGUUAGAAAUUGUGUUAAUUUAAAUUUUUGAGAUUAAUAAAUGAAGAUUUGUAUGGUA